UGGGGAAUAUUGCGCAAUGGGCGAAAGCCUGACGCAGCGACGCCGCGUGAGGGAUGAAGGUUUUCGGAUCGUAAACCUCUGUCAGAAGGGAAGAAACCGCACUGUGCUAAUCAGCAGUGCCUUGACGGUACCUUCAAAGGAAGCACCGGCUAACUCCGUGCCAGCAGCCGCGGUAAUACGGAGGGUGCAAGCGUUAAUCGGAAUUACUGGGCGUAAAGCGCACGUAGGCUGCUUUGUAAGUCAGGGGUGAAAUCCCACGGCUCAACCGUGGAACUGCCUUUGAUACUGCUUAGCUUGAAUCCGGGAGAGUGUGGCGGAAUUCCAGGUGUAGGAGUGAAAUCCGUAGAUAUCUGGAGGAACAUCAGUGGCGAAGGCGGCCACCUGGACCGGUAUUGACGCUGAGGUGCGAAAGCGUGGGGAGCAAACAGG
This 429-nucleotide ribosomal RNA is filed under the name Fusobacteriota bacterium. RNAcentral's name for it is "Fusobacteria bacterium partial 16S ribosomal RNA". It matches the Rfam family "Bacterial small subunit ribosomal RNA", at positions 355 to 776 of the family's 1533-position model. The record is from RNAcentral. Lineage: Bacteria; Fusobacteriati; Fusobacteriota.